Molecule: ribosomal RNA, 205 nt
Filed under: uncultured bacterium
Lineage: Bacteria
Description: partial 16S ribosomal RNA
Rfam family: Bacterial small subunit ribosomal RNA
Source: RNAcentral
UACGGAGGAUCCAAGCGUUAUCCGGAAUCAUUGGGUUUAAAGGGUCCGUAGGCGGUUUGGUAAGUCAGUGGUGAAAGCCCAUCGCUCAACGGUGGAACGGCCAUUGAUACUGCCAGACUUGAAUUAUUAGGAAGUAACUAGAAUAUGGUAGUGUAGCGGUGAAAUGCUUAGAGAUUACAUGGAAUACCAAUUGCGUAAGGCAGGU